AUGUAGAGCUACUUGAAAUUUUGCUUUUAAACUCUUCCCAAUGAUGUCUUAUUUCAAAACAAGAUGGAAGUUUUUCAGGACUGAAACUUUCCCCAGUUUUUGUUGAACCUCUCUCAAAAUCUCCAGAUUUCAACAGAAACAGUCAUACUGCACCCCACUUUGAAAGUUUCUUUUGAAUUCCUGUGAGGAAAUCUGUGAUUUUUAUUUGUGCGUCAUCUUGACUUCAAAGGUGUAGGAAAACAUUUCAGAACCCAUGGGUUUGGUCAACGGGCCUAGUUUGGUUGCUGAUCGGGACGAUGUGUCCUCAGACUGCUACAAAACCAGAGCUGCAGAAAAAUGCAGCUGAUGCGACCGAUGCUGACUCAACUCCAGGGGAUGGAAACGCAAGCCAGAUUGAAGCCAGAGGACUUCAACAUCAGCAGAAAUGCCUUUUAAAGAAGAAACAGUUGUUGAAGCUGUGGCAGCAGGAAGGUGCCUUGUGGUGGAUAGAGAGGGUUUUGGUGCCCUGUAUGUUCUUGAGGAUAGUAUCUGAACUUUUUGCUGUGCAGCCCAACCUCUGUUCGGAGACUAACUUCCUAAGCUGA
This 584-nucleotide long non-coding RNA is filed under the name Anser brachyrhynchus (Pink-footed goose). Its description in RNAcentral is "lncRNA (ENSABRG00000022086.1)". The record is from RNAcentral. Lineage: Eukaryota; Metazoa; Chordata; Aves; Anseriformes; Anatidae.